GCAAACUUGGUCAUUUAGAGGAAGUAAAAGUCGUAACAAGGUUUCCGUAGGUGAACCUGCGGAAGGAUCAUUAGAGAUUUAGUAAAUCCUAUCACCCGUGUGCAAUCUGCGAAGUCCGAUAUUCUUGGAGAGGUCAUCGUUCUUAAACUCUCCAAGGAGGUUAUCACGAUUAAUGCAUUUUUUCUUUUCUUUCCUUAAGAAUAUUACUGUCUAAAAAAUAAUCUAAAUAAGAAACAACUUUCAACAAUGGAUCUCUUGGCUCUCGCAUCGAUGAAGAACGCAGC
RNAcentral lists this unclassified non-coding RNA (284 nucleotides) under uncultured fungus. Its description in RNAcentral is "partial contains small subunit ribosomal RNA, internal transcribed spacer 1, and 5.8S ribosomal RNA". The stretch from base 1 to 73 matches the Rfam family "Eukaryotic small subunit ribosomal RNA", at positions 1759 to 1831 of the family's 1831-position model. The record is from RNAcentral. Lineage: Eukaryota; Fungi.